Molecule: ribosomal RNA, 434 nt
Filed under: uncultured Clostridium sp.
Lineage: Bacteria; Bacillati; Bacillota; Clostridia; Eubacteriales; Clostridiaceae
Description: partial 16S ribosomal RNA
Rfam family: Bacterial small subunit ribosomal RNA
Source: RNAcentral
ACGGAAGGCAGCAGUGGGGAAUAUUGGACAAUGGGGGAAACCCUGAUCCAGCGACGCCGCGUGAGUGAAGAAGUAUUUCGGUAUGUAAAGCUCUAUCAGCAGGGAAGAAAAUGACGGUACCUGACUAAGAAGCUCCGGCUAAAUACGUGCCAGCAGCCGCGGUAAUACGUAUGGAGCAAGCGUUAUCCGGAUUUACUGGGUGUAAAGGGAGCGUAGACGGUUUGCCAAGUCUGAUGUGAAAGGUGGGGGCUCAACCCCCAAACUGCAUUGGAAACUGGUAGACUAGAGUGUCGGAGAGGUAAGUGGAAUUCCUAGUGUAGCGGUGAAAUGCGUAGAUAUUAGGAGGAACACCAGUGGCGAAGGCGGCUUACUGGACGAUAACUGACGUUGAGGCUCGAAAGCGUGGGGAGCAAACAGGAUUAGAUACCCUGGUA